CUACGUGCCAGCAGCCGCGGUAAUACGGAGGGUGCGAGCGUUAUUCGGAAUUACUGGGCGUAAAGCGCACGCAGGCGGUUGCUCAAGUCAGAUGUGAAAGCCCCGGGCUUAACCUGGGAACUGCAUUUGAAACUGGGCGACUAGAGUAUGAAAGAGGAAAGCGGAAUUUCCAGUGUAGCAGUGAAAUGCGUAGAUAUUGGAAGGAACACCGAUGGCGAAGGCAGCUUUCUGGGUCGAUACUGACGCUCAUGUGCGAAAGCGUGGGGAGCAAACAGGAUUAGAUACCCUGGUAGUCCACGCCCUAAACGAUGUCAACUAGGUGUUGGGUUGUUAAAGACUCGGUACCGGAGCUAACGCAUUAAGUUGACCGCCUGGGGAGUACGGCCGCAAGGUUGAAACUCAAAGAAAUUGACGGGGACCCGCACAAGCGGUGGAGCAUGUGGUUUAAUUCGAUGCAACGCGAAGAACCUUACCAGGCCUUGACAUCC
Molecule: ribosomal RNA, 488 nt
Filed under: uncultured bacterium
Lineage: Bacteria
Description: bacterial SSU rRNA
Rfam family: Bacterial small subunit ribosomal RNA
Source: RNAcentral